CGUGAGUUCCAAAUAUUUCUAACGGUCGCCCCAGCGUGAGUUUUUUUAUGCACGUGAUGUUAGAACGUUCUCUCCAUUCCAGAAUGUGAUUGUUAUGUAACAGUACAUUUAACCUGCGCUGCCCUCAAACCAAAGCACGCAGCCUGUUUUAUUUGUCAAUUUAAAAUUAUUUUCUAACAAGUUUUUUAUUUUCUAAUAACAGUUUGAAAUGAUGUGUGUUUCGCCUUAUUCAUUCACAUAAAAGUAGUCAUUUUUACUUUUGCGGACCAAUUAAUUUUUUGGACAUUUCUGACCCGGACAAAAUUCCCCAAACACUUCUCAAUUGUUUGUGCAGGACAUUUACUCAUCUGCCGUCCUGUAUACACGUGUUCAUAUUUUCCACCUGUCGCCUGCAUCGAAAUCAAAGUUGUUUUCGUUACCAAUAAUACCUUUGGUAAUGUGUGCGUUUCUAUCAAAGUGCCUUAAUACGUUAUAAUAGUUUCUGCAUGUCGUGUUAUGUCGUUUCUACUGUAACGUCAUGUUUUUAUGUACAUUCCUUAUAACCGCGGACAGGCGAUGUAACGUUACUCAUUUCAUAACAUUUAUGGUGUUAUACUCAAUGCUUAGGUAUCUAGCUACAUUCUCCUAUUAGCUCUGGAAAACAAUGCUAAUUUCGUCAGGGAAGUAUUAGCAUGUGUUGUAUUUCGAAGCUACCCUGGCCUUAUGACUCCCAAGUGGCACAGCGUCUCAGCGCUAGAAGCGUCACUACAGAGACCCAUCUUCAAAUCAAGACUGCGUUUCUAUCAAAGUGGUCCACCUUCCCUGUGGCCAACAUGGUUGCUGUAUGGACAGUGGAGAGGACUUGGACGUCUCGUUUGUCAUGCCACUUUACUGCCAGCUGUUAACAUUUCUUAUUUUGUAUAACGGGUCAUUUAGGAUGGUAGUAGCGUUGAUGAAAUGCAGUCAUAGCAGCAGAACUAGAAAGCAGUCUUUACUGUCACCAGGAAUGUGUACAUUUCACAAAUUGUGGUUGUCCCCCACUCCUGGCUCUCUCUUCUCCUGUAGCUCCAAGGCAUAGUGAUUGGUCUCUACUAUGUCUCCCACCAGCUCCUCUGUCAGAAACAACUUGAAGCACUCUGCCUCAGUUGGAAAUGGCAAGGGGCGUUGCACUCCAGACUGGGACUCAUCAACACAAUCAGCAGGGCCAGGAGGGAUGAAAUGGCUGGCAGCCUUCCAGCUACCACAGAACUGUACUUCAUCCACUGUCAGUCUGCCACCAUCACCACCAGCAUCUUCAAAGGGACCUGGGACUUCGUCAGUGGACAAGGGAAAUUCAGAUUCAGGGUUCUCAGUGGCUACAAGGUUGGGGGGCAGCUCCUCACUCAGUCAGAAUCUGAUUCCUGACUUUCAUACUCUGACUCAUUGUCAGAAUUUUUAAAAAAUCUCCAUAAUUUCCACAUUUGUUUGUUGUCUCCUUUUGAAAGAUUGCUAAUGCUUCAGCUUAGCUCACUAGCUACAUACAUAAACAACAACACUGAAUGGUUUACAGUGAGAGGGUACGUGGUUGACUGCCGGCACGCGCCACUUGUAUCAAUAAAUCACUAUCAGAAAA
Long non-coding RNA from Salvelinus fontinalis (brook trout), 1591 nucleotides. RefSeq lists it as uncharacterized. The transcript has 2 exons. The record is from RefSeq and is a predicted model, not a curated record. Lineage: Eukaryota; Metazoa; Chordata; Actinopteri; Salmoniformes; Salmonidae.